UACGAAGGGGGCUAGCGUUGUUCGGAUUUACUGGGCGUAAAGCGCGUGUAGGCUGCUUCGCAAGUCGGAUGUGAAAGCCCUGGGCUCAACCCAGGAAGUGCAUUCGAAACUGCAGAGCUGGAGUCCUGGAGAGGAAGGCGGAAUUCUCGGUGUAGAGGUGAAAUUCGUAGAUAUCGAGAGGAACACCGGUGGCGAAGGCGGCCUUCUGGACAGUGACUGACGCUGAGACGCGAAAGCGUGGGGAGCAAACAGG
Molecule: ribosomal RNA, 253 nt
Filed under: uncultured bacterium
Lineage: Bacteria
Description: partial 16S ribosomal RNA
Rfam family: Bacterial small subunit ribosomal RNA
Source: RNAcentral